AUAGGGGAGCCGGAGGGAAACCGAGUCUUAAUUGGGCGUUAAGUUGCAGGGUAUAGACCCGAAACCCGGUGAUCUAGCCAUGGGCAGGUUGAAGGUUGGGUAACACUAACUGGAGGACCGAACCGACUAAUGUUGAAAAAUUAGCGGAUGACCUGUGGCUGGGGGUGAAAGGCCAAUCAAACCGGGAGAUAGCUGGUUCUCCCCGAAAGCUAUUUAGGUAGCGCCUCGUGAAUUCAUCUCCGGGGGUAGAGCACUGUUUCGGCUAGGGGGCCAUCCCGGCUUACCAACCCGAUGCAAACUGCGAAUACCGGAGAAUGUUAUCACGGGAGACACACGGCGGGUGCUAACGUCCGUCGUGAAGAGGGAAACAACCCAGACCGCCAGCUAAGGUCCCAAAGUCAUGGUUAAGUGGGAAACGAUGUGGGAAGGCCCAGACAGCCAGGAUGUUGGCUUAGAAGCAGCCAUCAUUUAAAGAAAGCGUAAUAGCUCACUGGUCGAGUCGGCCUGCGCGGAAGAUGUAACGGGGCUAAACCAUGCACCGAAGCUGCGGCAGCGACACUGUGUGUUGUUGGGUAGGGGAGCGUUCUGUAAGCCUGUGAAGGUGUGUCGUGAGGCAUGCUGGAGGUAUCAGAAGUGCGAAUGCUGACAUAAGUAACGAUAAAGCGGGUGAAAAGCCCGCUCGCCGGAAGACCAAGGGUUCCUGUCCAACGUUAAUCGGGGCAGGGUGAGUCGACCCCUAAGGCGAGGCCGAAAGGCGUAGUCGAUGGGAAACGGGUUAAUAUUCCCGUACUUGGUGUUACUGCGAAGGGGGGACGGAGAAGGCUAUGUUGGCCGGGCGACGGUUGUCCCGGUUUAAGCGUGUAGGUGUGUGUUCCAGGUAAAUCCGGUUCACUUUAACACUGAGGCGUGACGACGAGGCACUACGGUGCUGAAGCAACAAAUGCCCUGCUUCCAGGAAAAGCCUCUAAGCAUCAGGUAACAUCAAAUCGUACCCCAAACCGACACAGGUGGUCAGGUAGAGAAUACCAAGGCGCUUGAGAGAACUCGGGUGAAGGAACUAGGCAAAAUGGUGCCGUAACUUCGGGAGAAGGCACGCUGACACGUAGGUGAAGUGAUUUACUCAUGGAGCUGAAGUCAGUCGAAGAUACCAGCUGGCUGCAACUGUUUAUUAAAAACACAGCACUGUGCAAACACGAAAGUGGACGUAUACGGUGUGACGCCUGCCCGGUGCCGGAAGGUUAAUUGAUGGGGUCAGCGCAAGCGAAGCUCCUGAUCGAAGCCCCGGUAAACGGCGGCCGUAACUAUAACGGUCCUAAGGUAGCGAAAUUCCUUGUCGGGUAAGUUCCGACCUGCACGAAUGGCGUAAUGAUGGCCAGGCUGUCUCCACCCGAGACUCAGUGAAAUUGAACUCGCUGUGAAGAUGCAGUGUACCCGCGGCAAGACGGAAAGACCCCGUGAACCUUUACUAUAGCUUGACACUGAACAUUGAGCCUUGAUGUGUAGGAUAGGUGGGAGGCUUUGAAGCGUGGACGCCAGUCUGCGUGGAGCCGACCUUGAAAUACCACCCUUUAAUGUUUGAUGUUCUAACGUGGACCCGUAAUCCGGGUUGCGGACAGUGUCUGGUGGGUAGUUUGACUGGGGCGGUCUCCUCCUAAAGAGUAACGGAGGAGCACGAAGGUUGGCUAAUCCUGGUCGGACAUCAGGAGGUUAGUGCAAUGGCAUAAGCCAGCUUGACUGCGAGCGUGACGGCGCGAGCAGGUGCGAAAGCAGGUCAUAGUGAUCCGGUGGUUCUGAAUGGAAGGGCCAUCGCUCAACGGAUAAAAGGUACUCCGGGGAUAACAGGCUGAUACCGCCCAAGAGUUCAUAUCGACGGCGGUGUUUGGCACCUCGAUGUCGGCUCAUCACAUCCUGGGGCUGAAGUAGGUCCCAAGGGUAUGGCUGUUCGCCAUUUAAAGUGGUACGCGAGCUGGGUUUAGAACGUCGUGAGACAGUUCGGUCCCUAUCUGCCGUGGGCGCUGGAGAACUGAGGGGGGCUGCUCCUAGUACGAGAGGACCGGAGUGGACGCAUCACUGGUGUUCGGGUUGUCAUGCC
RNAcentral lists this ribosomal RNA (2092 nucleotides) under Salmonella enterica subsp. enterica serovar Stanley. RNAcentral's name for it is "partial 23S ribosomal RNA". It matches the Rfam family "Bacterial large subunit ribosomal RNA", at positions 657 to 2730 of the family's 2925-position model. Lineage: Bacteria; Pseudomonadati; Pseudomonadota; Gammaproteobacteria; Enterobacterales; Enterobacteriaceae. The record is from RNAcentral.